RNAcentral lists this ribosomal RNA (444 nucleotides) under uncultured bacterium. Its description in RNAcentral is "partial 16S ribosomal RNA". It matches the Rfam family "Bacterial small subunit ribosomal RNA", at positions 339 to 795 of the family's 1533-position model. The record is from RNAcentral.
CUACGGGAUGCAGCAGUGGGGAAUAUUGCACAAUGGGCGCAAGCCUGAUGCAGCAACGCCGCGUGAGGGAUGAAGGCCUUCGGGUUGUAAACCUCUUUUAGCAGGGAAGAAGCGAAAGUGACGGUACCUGCAGAAAAAGCACCGGCUAACUACGUGCCAGCAGCCGCGGUAAUACGUAGGGUGCAAGCGUUGUCCGGAAUUAUUGGGCGUAAAGAGCUCGUAGGCGGUUUGUCACGUCUGCUGUGAAAAUCCAAGGCUCAACCUUGGACUUGCAGUGGGUACGGGCAGGCUAGAGUGCGGUAGGGGAGAUGGGAAUUCCUGGUGUAGCGGUGGAAUGCGCAGAUAUCAGGAGGAACACCAAUGGCGAAGGCACAUCUCUGGGCCGUAACUGACGCUGAGGAGCGAAAGCGUGGGGAGCGAACAGGAUUAGAUACCCCUGUAGUC